RNAcentral lists this long non-coding RNA (2187 nucleotides) under Theobroma cacao (cacao). RNAcentral's name for it is "long non-coding RNA (TCAC_LNC005126)". Lineage: Eukaryota; Viridiplantae; Streptophyta; Magnoliopsida; Malvales; Malvaceae. The record is from RNAcentral.
AAGAGUUCGAGCUUGAUGUCCUAGAACCGAUAGGUAGUGGGAAUGCAGGCUUUUAUCGUACUCCCACUAGCUUUCUAUCAAAGGGCCCCCAUGCAUAUCAUCUGAAUUAUUGAGAGCGAGGGGGCUUGAAUCCUACCUCAUGUACCAACAAUCAGUACAUAAUUGAUCAAGGUUUUUCUGUGUGAUUGAAAACUUAUGUAUAGCUGUUCUCCAAGACAUCAACUAUCCAGGCGGUCAUCUGAACCAUUCCGGCGACAUAGUAGGCAUCUGCAUUGGUUUAUUGAAGAAUUCAAUCUAUGGCUAGCAUGUGUCUUAGAGGAGAGUCUCAUGGAAUCAUGGCUUUCGUUUACUUCUAUGAUAAAGUUAUAAUAGCAAAACCCUUCAAUUUAAAAGCAGGAAAAGAAAGUUUUUAGAUGCUGCUGCUGGAUGCAGAGAAAAUACGAGCAUAUGACCAAAAAGACAUGUCAGUGCCGGCUUUCAUGGAGAAAUCAUGAAAUAACAAUCGGGAGUGAGAGUAGAAUCAUACUAGCUACUGGCUAGCUGACAGAAUGGCAGCAGAGUUCAGCAUAAAAGUUCAACCCGUAAAGUAAAAAUACAUAGCAAAAGAAGAAAAGAGAUUACCCAGCAGUGCCAAUUGAGGGCAAAAUUUUUAAUCACUAGUCAUCCUACUUGAAAAUUUUGGUUUAAAGCAGGUCAAGUACAUGUCCUAUCAGGCCCUGUUCAUAUGCAUGCAAUCAAGUUUAGUAGGAAAAAGAAAAGGGGAAGAAAGAUUUUCCUCUUGUAAAUACUGUGCUUUGUUCCUUAUGAUGUCUGGCUCCAUUUUGGUGACACCAGAAUCAGAAAUUCAAGUAAUUUUUACGAUCAAAACCCAGGAAAUCUCUAAAAUCUCUUGGCAGAGAAAUGAGGUUGAGUUUGUUCAGAGUUUGACAUCGAACGGGACCUUUCCUUUGACAUGCAAAAGUUAUAGGCUAACUGAUGGAUGCUUAAGAAGGUCAAGUCAGUCUCUCUCUUUGAGCAUAACCACAGCAGCAAACAGGAACAAGGGAUCCAACUUGCUUAUUUAGAGGCUAUAGUCUAGAGUCUAAGAUUGGAUGUGAGAACCGUGUUUGUUAGUGUGUUGCAUUAAAUACAUCAUAAAACUCUGAUGAGGUACAGACAGGAAAAUCUGUAAUGAUCAUAUUUAAAACAAAAGAAAGAAAGAUCAAAAUUGGGUUGACAUUUGAACUGCAAAAUAUAUGAUAUGACUCCUGAACCAUACUAUAAGGUCAGAAUUCAAAAUCAAAGAGAUAUUGGGAGGUGAAUAUGCAUGAAAGUAUCAUGUCACAUUUUGGAAGCGUAAUAAUUUAAAACCAAGUGUUAUAUAGAGGAGAGCUUUUGAGAGUAAAUUGAGGGGGCAAGAGGGAAAACUAUGGCUGUUUUCCCCAAAAUGGGAAAGUCCCUUUCAAUUUGCUGUUUCUAAAGGCUUGGGGUCAUAAUAUCUUUAGUGGAAGUUAUAGUUGGAAUCCUUUUUGGUGCAAGAAGUGACAGGUUGAUGUGACAUCAGGAGCCCUGAGGAGUCUGGAAAGUAAUUCAGGCUUCAACCUUCAAUCUUCUCAUGAUAAUAUCCAGAAUAGUGUAGACUUUGGAGCAGCUAAAUCACUCUGGAGAUGCUGGCUUUUGGCAAGUGGUUGGCAUUGAAAAACAUGGGUGGAAUUUGACUUUGUUCACAAUCUAUUUUGCCCGUAAGGAAUUGUCAGUUGGGCGUUGGCUCAUGAUACACAAUUGAAAUGAAAAAAAUAAAUAAACAAGAUAAAAUUUAGCACCUAUUAAUUUAUCCUAAUUAGGAAAGGAACUAGCUGGCUAUUGAAAUGGUGAAGCAAAUGCCAUAGUUACAUGUCAUGUCAGGAUCGAGGAGAGAUGUUUCUGAUCAAAGCCUUAACCCCCACCCCAAAUCCAUUAAUGAAUUUAUCUACAGGCAAACAAAUGAAAGUCGAAAGAUGCGUGAUGCUUGUUCAUGGUAUCAGAGUACUGAUAUCCAGGAAAGAUAAAAAGGCAAAAUAUCCGUAGAAGCACAGAGAUAAAGUCGUAAUUCACAAAGGGAUCUUCAAACAAUCCAAGAGAGUAUUACCAAAAAGCAUGCAGUAACUGCAACUCAAUGCAAGCCUUGAUCUAGGCUCCAAACCACCCUCAGUCAAAAGUGAAACAAUG